Molecule: ribosomal RNA, 386 nt
Filed under: uncultured bacterium
Lineage: Bacteria
Description: bacterial SSU rRNA
Rfam family: Bacterial small subunit ribosomal RNA
Source: RNAcentral
GAUGAACGCUAGCGGCAGGCCUAACACAUGCAAGUCGAGGGGUAGUUACUUUCGGGUAAUGAGACCGGCGCACGGGUGCGUAACGCGUAUGCAAUCUACCUUUUACAGGGGAAUAGCCCAGAGAAAUUUGGAUUAAUGCCCCAUAGUAUGUAUGAAUCGCAUGGUUUAUACAUUAAAGUUCCAACGGUAAAAGAUGAGCAUGCGUCCCAUUAGUUAGUUGGUAAGGUAACGGCUUACCAAGACGAUGAUGGGUAGGGGUCCUGAGAGGGAGAUCCCCCCACACUGGUACUGAGACACGGACCAGACUCCUACGGGAGCAGCAGUGAGGAAUAUUGGACAAUGGGCGCAAGCCUGAUCCAGCCAUGCCGCGUGCAGGAAGAAGCAUC